This 564-nucleotide ribosomal RNA is filed under the name Alternaria alternata. RNAcentral describes it as "eukaryotic LSU rRNA". The stretch from base 236 to 389 matches the Rfam family "5.8S ribosomal RNA". The record is from RNAcentral. Lineage: Eukaryota; Fungi; Ascomycota; Dothideomycetes; Pleosporales; Pleosporaceae.
UCUUGGUCCAAUUAGAGGAAGUAAAAGUCGUAACAAGGUCUCCGUAGGUGAACCUGCGGAGGGAUCAUUACACAAAUAUGAAGGCGGGCUGGAACCUCUCGGGGUUACAGCCUUGCUGAAUUAUUCACCCUUGUCUUUUGCGUACUUCUUGUUUCCUUGGUGGGUUCGCCCACCACUAGGACAAACAUAAACCUUUUGUAAUUGCAAUCAGCGUCAGUAACAAAUUAAUAAUUACAACUUUCAACAACGGAUCUCUUGGUUCUGGCAUCGAUGAAGAACGCAGCGAAAUGCGAUAAGUAGUGUGAAUUGCAGAAUUCAGUGAAUCAUCGAAUCUUUGAACGCACAUUGCGCCCUUUGGUAUUCCAAAGGGCAUGCCUGUUCGAGCGUCAUUUGUACCCUCAAGCUUUGCUUGGUGUUGGGCGUCUUGUCUCUAGCUUUGCUGGAGACUCGCCUUAAAGUAAUUGGCAGCCGGCCUACUGGUUUCGGAGCGCAGCACAAGUCGCACUCUCUAUCAGCAAAGGUCUAGCAUCCAUUAAGCCUUUUUUUCAACUUUGACCUCGAUCA